RNAcentral lists this ribosomal RNA (595 nucleotides) under uncultured bacterium. Its description in RNAcentral is "bacterial SSU rRNA". It matches the Rfam family "Bacterial small subunit ribosomal RNA", at positions 338 to 965 of the family's 1533-position model. The record is from RNAcentral.
CCUACGGAAGGCAGCAGUGGGGAAUAUUGGACAAUGGGGGCAACCCUGAUCCAGCCAUGCCGCGUGAGUGAUGACGGCCUUAGGGUUGUAAAGCUCUUUUCUCCGGGACGAUAAUGACGGUACCGGAGGAAUAAGCCCCGGCUAACUUCGUGCCAGCAGCCGCGGUAAUACGAAGGGGGCUAGCGUUGCUCGGAAUCACUGGGCGUAAAGGGCGCGUAGGCGGCUGAUUUAGUCGAGGGUGAAAGCCCGUGGCUCAACCACGGAAUGGCCUUCGAUACUGGUUGGCUUGAGACCGGAAGAGGACAGCGGAACUGCGAGUGUAGAGGUGAAAUUCGUAGAUAUUCGCAAGGACACCAGUGGCGAAGGCGGCUGUCUGGUCCGGUUCUGACGCUGAGGCGCGAAAGCGUGGGGAGCAAACAGGAUUAGAUACCCUGGUAGUCCACGCUGUAAACGAUGAAUGCUAGCCGUUGGGGUGCNUGCACUCAGUGCGCGCUACGCCUACGCNUCCGUCCGUCGGGAGGUACGGUCGCGAGAAUUAAACUACAAGAAGUAGACGGCGNGAGACGNGCCGACGGACGACGACGAGGGAGGUAGG